Molecule: ribosomal RNA, 507 nt
Filed under: uncultured bacterium
Lineage: Bacteria
Description: bacterial SSU rRNA
Rfam family: Bacterial small subunit ribosomal RNA
Source: RNAcentral
AGUUUGAUCAUGGCUCAGAUUGAACGCUGGCGGCAUGCCUUACACAUGCAAGUCGAACGGCAGCACGGGAGCUUGCUCCUGGUGGCGAGUGGCGAACGGGUGAGUAAUGCAUCGGAACGUGCCCUGAAGUGGGGGAUAACGUAGCGAAAGUUACGCUAAUACCGCAUAUUCUGUGAGCAGGAAAGCAGGGGAUCUUCGGACCUUGCGCUUUUGGAGCGGCCGAUGUCGGAUUAGCUAGUUGGUGGGGUAAAGGCCCACCCAAGGCGACGAUCCGUAGCGGGUCUGAGAGGAUGAUCCGCCACACUGGAACUGAGACACGGUCCAGACUCCUACGGGAGGGCAGCAGUGGGGAAUUUUUGGACAAUGGGCGCAAGCCUGAUCCAGCCAUGCCGCGUGAGUGAAGAAGGCCUUCGGGUUGUAAAGCUCUUUCGGUGGGGAAGAAAUUGCUUGGGUUAAUACCCUGAGUAGAUGACGGUACCCGCAUAAGAAGCACCGGCUAACUACGUG